This 231-nucleotide ribosomal RNA is filed under the name uncultured bacterium. Its description in RNAcentral is "partial 16S ribosomal RNA". It matches the Rfam family "Bacterial small subunit ribosomal RNA", at positions 107 to 334 of the family's 1533-position model. The record is from RNAcentral.
UGAGUAACACGUAUGCAAUCCACCUGUAACAGGGGGAUAACCCGGAGAAAUCCGGACUAAUACCCCAUAAUAUGGGCGCUCCGCAUGGAGAGCCCAUUAAAGAGAGCAAUUUUGGUUACAGACGAGCAUGCGCUCCAUUAGCCAGUUGGCGGGGUAACGGCCCACCAAAGCGACGAUGGAUAGGGGCUCUGAGAGGAAGGUCCCCCACAUUGGAACUGAGACACGGUCCAA